UUAUUUUUGGUUAAAGAACAUUGAAAUCCUAGUUUCAUCACUUCUCUCUUUCUGCCUCCAGCUAGUCUCUCUCUUCCAUAUUCGCGCGGCUCCAUGCUUCUACUGAACGGACCAGCUCCAGUCGUCCACCGCCAAAACAGAUGCCAUAUUCGGACUCCCCAACUCCCUAAACCUUGUUACCCUACUCUCUCUUUCUCUCUCUCUCGUUUUCCUCUCCUCCUCGCACUCCCUCGUAUGCUUUGGCUCAUCUAAUUCGUCACAGGAUUUGGCUGUUGUUCCUGCUAAUUUUGUUGUUUACUAUGAAGUUGAACUCGUCUCCUUCGUUAAGGAAAAGGAAUCUUGGGAUAUGAACACACAGGAGAAGUAGAAAAAGGAAGAAGGCAAUGCCUUGUUCAAGGCUGGUAAAUAUGAAAGAGCCUCAAAAACAUAUAAGAAGGCUGUGAGUAUCGUCGAAUAUAUAUGAUUCUUCCUUCAGUGAUGAAGAGAAGCAACAAGCAAAGGUGCUGAAAAUCACAUGUAAUCUUAACAAUGCAGCCUGUAAACUAAAACUCAAAGAUUAUAAGCAAGCAGAUCUACCACAAGACUGAGGACGAGCUUGAAGAACUCGACGUUGAUCGAUUCCUCUCGAAGAUUGAAGAAUUUGUUCUAGCUACGUUUCCAAUGAAAGAAGGAAGUCAUAGUUCUGCGCUUGGUAACUUUUGGUUUCGCCAUUGCCACCGAGAGACGGAGAAGCGUUUUUUCUUUGUGCUUGCUACAGUUUCACAUUCAACUUCAAGAUGAGGUUACUUUCAUAAUUGUGGAGAUGGUGGUUUUUGAGGAAAUAUUUAUGAUUGAGAUUGACUUUCCUCCCAAAGCUGACCAUUGAGGUAUAAUUUUAUCAUUUUAUGCUCAUAUUUACUUUAGAAGUUAAUCAUGAAGAAGUUUUGAUAUUAUAAUUUAUUUGAACUUAAGUAUUAUUUCAUAAAUUUUUUAUUGGUCAAACAAACAGUAAAAAAUCUAAUAUGAUUACCUUUGUCAUGAACAGAAAAAUAUAUAUCUAAUACAUAAACGCAUACGACAAACCUUUGUAUUCUUGAGUCCUCCAAUCAAACCUUGCUUUUGUCCGAUCAAAAUUAUACUAAAAAAUGAUCGCAAAUGUAGGACAAUCAAAAUUUCAAAAAUUAAAAAAAAUUUCUGAAGACAUUUGUAUAGAUAAUUAACAUAUAUUAAAUUUGGAGUGUUGGAUCUCCAAGAAUUGGGUGUAAAGAAAACACCAUCAAGCAAAUUUUGAUUUUAGAUUGAUAUAGCUAGAAAAUACACAGUAGUGAAUCUACUAAUUAUGAUGUGAGACAUUAGUGAGUUAGAAGUACAUAUAAGUGUAGUAAAAGGGAUUUGAAAUCUUACCGUUGCUGUAAGGAAAAUGGAAAGUGAUUCCUCUGAUUAAGAGAUAAAAGAAGUAGUAGUGAUGAUGAUAGUGAAAAUGUCUCUUAGGUGAGUGUUAAUGAUAGAGGUCAAUGAGGCUAACUGAAGAAGAAUAAGGAAGGAUCUCAAGGAGAAUUUGAUGAUUAGUUUGGGACGUUUAGAUAUGCAGAUCAUCAAAAAAUGAUAACAUUUAAUAGUAAAAAUAGUUUUUAAUAAAGUUAUAUAUAUUUUGCAAUUUUUUAACUUACUGCACGUUAUGUAGCUCUAAAAUAGCUGACUUACUGUUUUAUAGCCUAAUUAUUGUUAUAUAAUAUGGCUGCUCGAUGUUAUACAGUAUAGCUGAGUUACUGUUUUAUAGCUAUAAUAUAGUUGAGUUAGUCAGUCAAGGAAGGAAUUCAAUUGUUGAAUUCAAUCUAAUUAAAAAGGAUAAAUUAUUGUAUCAAACUAAUAGUUUUUUUUUUUUUUUUGGUUAAAAAAUAAUUAUCUGUUUUUUUUUUCAUAAAAACUUAAAUAAAAUGUCAAUAAGAUUUGUUCCGUGUGUCAGGUAAAGCAUUGUGAAAUUCAGCAAUUGUUUUGAAAAAUAUUAUUGGCUUUAUUGCUCUACUUGCUGGACAUGGCUUAUUAAUUAGUUUUAAAUUACAUGUUAAGAGUAGCUGUUGUAGUUGCAAGUUUUCAGAGGUUUGUUUAGAGUUUGCUCUCUUGUGUCUUUGUAAUGGUGAAACUCUAUUUGCCUAAUCAGUUGUUAUGUUUCUCUAAAAAAAUUAGUUUUAAAUAGGUGAAGUCUAUGAAAGGAAACGUUGGUGAUAAUGUAGCUGAGAAGAGAGUUUAUCUUGGAACAUUUUUUGUCAGCUCAAUAUUGUAAUUCCAUUAAAGAGAUUAAUAAAGUUUUUUAAUUAUUUUAUUAAAAAAUAUUUCGUUUUCAAUAGAAAGUAAAGAAAAAGAAAGAGAAGAAAAGAAAUGAUUCAAGAGAAAUUUUCAUUGAAUGAAUGGAACAGUACAAUAUGUCCCUUUAUAUAUACAUGACAGUACAAGAAUAAUAUUAGUUACAGACACAAACUAACAUAACAGAAAAACUAACUCUGACAUCACAUCCUAACUAACUCACCCAAUUCUGAAACUCCCCCUCAAGAUGGAGCAAAGAUGUUUUGCAAUCCCAUCUUGUUUUUUAAAUGGUUGAAUUGAUUAGGGAACAAUGCUUUGGUAAGGAUGUCAGCAACCUGUUCUUUGGAAGUAACAUGAGCUGUUUUUACUAAACCAGAUUGUAUCUUCUCUCUAACCAAGUGACAAUCGAUUUCGAUGUGCUUGGUUCUUUAAUGAUACACAAGAUUAGCUCCAAUGUGUAUUGCAGCUUGAUUGUAACAAAACAGUUCUACUCUAUCCCAACUCUUUUAGAACAGAGAUGAGCCAUACAACUCUAUAAACUGCAGUUGCCAUAGCCCUGUAUUCGGUCUCAGCAAAGGAUCUAGAAACAGCGUGCUGCUUUUUGCUUUUCCAGGAUAUCAAGGACUUUCCAAUAAACACACAAUACCCUGUAGUAGAUCUCCUUGAAUCUUGGCAUGCUCCCCAGUCGGCAUCAGUGUAAGCUCUAAGUUGCACAUCUGUUUCUAUAGGAAAAAAUAACCCCAAACCAGGACAUUCUUUGACAUACUGCAAUAUCCUUUCAGCAGCUUUCAUAUGAAGGGAUCUAGGACUAUUAAGAUAUUGACAGAGUAGGAAAGAUCUGGCUUGGUUAUUGUCAAAUAUUGAAGCUUGUUAAUGAUUUUUCUGUAGCUUUGAGAAUUAUCCAGGAGUUCUACUGAAUCCUGAUGCAGCUUCAAAUUUGGUUCCAUUGGUGUAGUUACUUGUUUGGAUCCUAAUUUUCCAAAGUCUUCAAGAAUUUGAAGAGCAUAUGGUCUUUGAGAAAUGAAUAUUCCUUCAUUAGUUUUUGCAACUUCAAUCUCCAAAAAAAUAUCUCAAACUUCCUAAGUCCUUUAGCUUAAAUCUGUCAUUAAGUCUGAGAGUGAGAGAUCGAAUGGAUGCAAGGUCAUUACUUGCUAUGAUCACAUCAUCACCAUAAACAAGUAAUGCCAUAAAGUGAUUAGAGGAAUGUUGUAUGAAGAGGGAAUGGUCUGUUGCAGAAUGUGUAAAACCUUCUUCAAGUAAGACACUUGGAAAUUUGGCAAAACAUUGCCUUGAAGCUUGUUUUAAUCCAUACUAGAAUUUCUUGAGUUUACAAACAGGAUUGGCAGGUAGAUUCUCCCCCUUAGGACUAUACCCCUGAGGUAAAGUCAUAAACACUUCCUCAUGCAAAUCCUCAUGAAGGAAUGCAUUAUUGACAUCAAGUUGUUGAAGAUGCCAAUUAUGCAUUGCUGCAAGUGCCAAGAUGAGUUUAACAGAAACCAACUUUGCAACAAGGGAAAAUGUUUUUGUAUAAUCGAUCCCUUCUUGCCAAGUAUACCCCUUGGCCACCAGUUUGGCUUUAAACCUCUCAACUGUUCCAUCUGAAUUUAAUUUGAUUUUAUAAACCUACUUACACCCUAUUGGAUGUUUCCCUGCAGGUAAAGACACAAUGAUCCAUGUAUGGUUCUGUUCAAGGGCAAUAAUCUCAUGAUCCAUAGCUUGCAACCAUUUAGGAUAAGCUGCUGCUUGCUGAUAUGUAGUAGGUUCAAAAAGGCUUGAAACAGCAAGAACAAAGGCUUUAAAAGCAGGAGACAAUUUCUUGUAAGUGAGAGUAUUAGAAAUAGGGUGAGAUGUAGAUGGUGUAGGUUGAGAAGUGCUGGAAACCUGAGCUAAGGAGCAAUGGUAAUCUUGCAGGUAGGAUGGGGGUUUGAUAACUUGAGUGGAUUGAGUAACAGGUGUAGAUGUGGAGGCAUCAUGGUGAGUCUUGAGAGUGUUUGACACCUUGGGUGAACCAGAAGGAGGGAGACAUGAAUUUGAAAAAAAAAAAAAAUUGAUGGGAAAAAGGUACAGAGGUACCUGAAGUAUAAGGGAAAAUAGACUCAUAAAAAUUGAACAUCCGUAGACAUGAACAUUCAAUUGGUAUGAAGGUCAAGCAACCUGUAUGCCUUCAUACUAGUGAGAUAUCCUAAAAAGACACAAGCAAUGGCUCUAGGAGAAAUUUUUUUUCUAUGACUAGGGAGUGUGGAAGCAUAGGUUGAACAACCAAAUUCUUUUAAAUGAGAGUAGGUGGGGGUUUGAUUAUGCAACAUUUCAAAAGGAGAUUUAUGUUGCAAGUUGGGGGAGGGAGUCCUAUUAAUAAGAUAGGCAGCAAUGCCUACACAAUGGUUCCAAUAACAUAGGGGAAUAUGGGAUUGGAAAAGUAAAGCCCGAGUUACAUUAAAUAGGUGUUGGUGCUUUCUUUCAAUAACUGAAUUUUGUUGAGGAUGCUCAACACAGGAGUGGAAAUGUUGGAUGCCUAGAGAGUUAAAAAGGGUGGGGAAUUGUAACUCUUUGGCAUUAUCAAAUCUGAGGCUUUUCACUUGAGUAUUAAACUAAGUCUUAACUAGAUUUAGAAAGUUAGGAAUGGCUUCUUGAGCCUCAGAUUUUUGUUUGAGAAAAUACACCCAUGUAUAUCUAGAGUGGUCAUCAACAAUGGUCAAAAAAUACUUAAAACCUUCAGUUGUUAUAGUAUUAUAGGGCCCCCAUAUAUCAAUAUGUAUGAGAUCAAAAACAGUGAUCUGAAAAAUUGUUAUUGGAAAUAAUAGGCAAUCUUUUUUGUUUGGCAAGAUGACAAAUUUAGCAAUGAAAAUCAUCAGAAUGUGAAUGAUCAAAAAUCAAUUCUUUAUUCAAUGAAUGUUGUUUUAUACAAGCAGAAUGGCCUAAUCUAUAGUGCCAUAUGUUUUCAACAUGAGGUUUAAAAUCAAAAAAAUUACAAUUUGAGACAAAAGAACUUGAAGGAAUGUCAAGGUAAAAAAGGUUGCCUACUCGAUCACCCCUCCCAAUCUGAGUAUGUUGGAUAGUCUCUUGAAUGACACAGGAAUUAGCAGAAAAUAAGAAGGUGCAUGACAUGGAUUUCAUUAAAGAACUGACAGAUAAAAGAUUAGUGUUGAAUGCAGGGAUAUAGAGGACAUUUGAAAGAGUUAAGGUAGGAGUAAUAAUGACAGAACCAAUGCAAGACACAGAUGCUACUUGGCCAUUUGGGAGAUGAAUUGGUGUCAAAGAAGGGUUAGGAAAAGUUUGAGAGAAUAAAGCUAAGUUAUGACAAACAUGAUGAGUUGCCCCAAUGUUAAUAAUCCAUUUAGAAUGAGAUUUAAGAGAAUUCAUACCAGAGAAGUGAGACACCAUAGGUGGUUGAGUGGUUUUUGGUGUAGAGCCAUUGGUAGAAUUUUCUUGAAUUCGAUUUGCAAGCAAUUAGAUUAUGGGUUGGCAUUGAGCAGUGGUGAGACCAGCAGUCAUGGCAGAGUUAAAACCCUUGUUAUUAAGGGUGUUCAUUGGAUCACAUCCAAUGUUUUUAGGCCUAUCCAAAUCUGAUCCAAUCAUAUAUUAGAUGUUAGAUUUUACCAUCCGAUCCGAUCCAAUUGAUUUCCAUCAUCCAAUCAAUCCAACAUCCAUUGGAUCGGUUCUAUCCAUUGGAUAUAUUUUAUGUAUAUUAUUUGUUUAAUUUCUCCAUUGGAUGUAUUUCAUAUAUAUUAUUUGUUUAAUUUGGGUUCAUCCAAUAUUUUAGACCUAGUAUUUUUUGGAUCGGAUCGAAGCCAUCCAAUAUUUUAGGUCCAGUACGUAUUGGAUUGGACUGGAUUUAUCUAAUCCAAGAAUAAAAGAGUAAAAUUUUAAUGUUAAUUUUCAUAUAUACAUAUAGAUUUGACGAAUAACAAUAUAAAAUCUAAUUACUCAUCCAAACUAAAAGAAAAUACUAUUUAGUUAGAUUGGAUGUUGGAUGUAUUAGAUUUUUAGACACCCCAUUCACCAUCCGAUUCAAUCCAAUUGAUAUUUAAAAAUAACAUUCAAUCCGAUCUGAUCACAAUUGUAUAUCCAAUGUUUGACGGUCAGUUGUAAUUGAAUCGGUCGGUUCUUAUUGGAUUGGAUCGAUUUAUGCACACCCCACUUGUUAUCUCCACUGUUGUCAACAGAGGCCUCAACUGAAUUUGCAGUAGGUUUUGAGACUAGAGGUUUUCCUCUCCCAUGGAAUUUGUGACCUGGAGGGUAGCCAUGAAUCUUGUAACACUUAGCAAUGGUAUGUUUAGUCAUCCCACAAUGAGUACAAACAACCUUAGAUCUGCCAAAUUGAGAACUCCCAUCCAACUGUCUUAAAACUUUGGCCAGAUUCAUUGUUCUCAGCUGGGGUAUUGUUCAAUUCUCUUUGUCUUUCUUCUUGGAUUAGAGUAGCAUACACUUUGUUUAUGCUAGGUAUAGGAUCUUGCAUCAAGAUUUGGGAUAUGGCAGUAGAAUAUGAUUCAUAUAUUCCAACCAAGAACUCUAACACACGAUCUUGUUCCUGGUAGGCUUGUAUAGUCUUCAUUGCCCCACAUGUACAAAUAGGUAGAGGUCGAAAAUCACAAAUCAUGUCCUGGAGAGCCCUUAAUUUCGUGAAAUAACCCUGAAUGUUGGCACUGCCUUGAACAAGAACUUGCAGAGCCCUCUUGACCUCAAACACCCGAGGUCCAUUAUUUUGCUAAAAACGUUCAUGAAGUUCUGCCCAGAUGGUUGCAGCAUUAUCUAUAUACAUUAUGCUGUCCCCAAUAUCAGAAGAAACAACAUGAAAAAUCCAAGAAAUGACUAAGCUGUUACAUCGACUCCAUGCAUCGUAAUCUUCGUGGUCAGGAACUGGUUCAAGAAGCUGUCCAUUGAUGAACUUCAUCUUAUUUCUGGGAAGAAGAGCAACACUCAUGGCGUGCUUCCAAGAAUUGUAAUUUUCUCUUCUUGUCAAGAUCAUGGGAACAAGGCUUGCACUCAGAUGAUUGCUAUUACUCAAGUAAUAAGGAUUCCGAGCUUCAUCCUUGUAUCCACGAGAAACCUGAUCUUGAACAUGAAUCUGAUUGUUGCCAUGGCCAAGCUCAUCACUUGAAUGUUGACCUUCUUCUAUAACUCCUCCACUUUGUGUUUGGACCAUGGCGUGAUGUGAGAAACAGAAAAACAGAGUAGAAAAAUGCAGAAGAAGAAGCCUUACGGCUCUGACCUGAUCUAGUAAUUCAUUAACUUAAAAAAAAAAUUUAAUUUAGACUCAGUUCAUAAAUCCCUAAAUUGAAUAUUUGAACUUCGAAGAAGCCCCUUUCCCUCGUCUGUCGUCUCCUUCCUCAAAUACAGUGCAAGUGAAACAUUGUAUUCAGCUCAAAAACUUGUUUCCCUGAGAAACCCAUUUCAUGGAAUCCAGCAAAGUCGAGGAUUUCCUUGCUGGGUAUUAACGAGAAGAGAACAGGGUUUUCGACAUCAAGAUUGGGUCUUCAUCUAGGUUUCGUUCUUCCGUUAUUCGAAACACAAAAUGGAGUAGAAAAGGUAAGGUACAAUUUAACUUCUGUUGAUAGACUAAAAUGGGUAUUAAGUUUAGAACUAUCAGAAGUUUUAAAUUACAGCGUAAUAAAUCUUCUUCCUCUUUUGAACAUAUAUAUAUAUGUAGCUGAAGAUGAAGAGAACAAACUAUGGUUGGUUUCAGUGUUGGUUAAUCAUCAUUAUCACCUCAAAACUCCAUAGCUCAAAACGCCACUACUGCCCCAUCUGAAGGAUAGGAAGAAAUUCUAAUUUCUAAAACAAGUUGAUAAGUUCUUGAACCCCAAGAUUGCACCUCAAGAGUUUGUGGAUGAGAUUAAGGUACUUUUACUAUGAUAUAACAUUCUUUUGUUUAAAAAUUUGCAGAUAUUAAAUCCAUAAUAUAUAUUUAAAUUGAUGUUCAAAAUGUUCUAUUUUUCAUAAUUUAAUAGAAGAGUUUGAAUAUCUCAUAUAUUCAUCUAUAGAGAAGUAGGAUUUGUGAAAUUUAUGUGCUGCAGUGAUAUAAGGAUGGAAACUUGUGUAUUAUCCGAUUGUUUGCGAUUGAAAUUGACAGAUGGUUAGGUUAAUAAAAUAGGGAAAACGCUGUCCGAUUUUUUUAAAAUAUAUUUAUCAUAUUUUCUAAGUAGCGUGCAUUGAUAGACAUGAGAAUAUAAUGUUAUUGUAGGUUAAUUAAAGAAUAAUGUCUGGUCAAAUCGGUUCUAAUUUUGAGGAUAAUAUUGAUUUUGUGCCAUCAACUAAUAUUGAAGAAAGACAAUCUGUUAGUAAUACAUUAGAUGAAAAUCAGAAUACCGGGAGAAAAAGAACUUCUCGUGCAUGAGAUCAUUUUACUCCUAUGAAAUUGAUGGUAAAAUUAAAGAGGUUUGCAAUCACUACGGGCGUUAGUUGGUGGGAGAAAGUUCUCAGGGACUACGCAUUUAAAUGCUCACGUAAAGAGGUGUCCAGUCAUAAAAGCCCAACUUGCUGUUAAUCCUACUACAAGCCUUUCAGUUCCUUUCAAUUUUGAGCCUGAUUUAGAAAGGAUCAAAUUGGCUCAAAUGAUCUUUAAGCAUGAAUAUCCAUUGUUCAUGGUUGAGCAUAGCAGGUUUAUAGAAUAUUCAAGUAUUUUGUGUCCCAUGUUUCAAAUGGUGUCAAGAAAUACGAUUAGGUCUGACGUCAUGAAAAUGUAUAAAAUUGAGAAAGAAAAAUAUAGGCAAAGUCUGGAAAAAAGUAGGAGCAAAAUAGCCAUAACCAGUGACAUGUGGACUGCAAAUUAUCAGAAGAGAGGAUAUAUGACUGUAACAGCUCAUUUUAUUGAUGAUGCUUGGAAUUUGCACAGUAAGAUUCUGAGUUUUAAGUAUGUUGCAUGUCCUUACAAUGCUCUAGCACUACUUGAGGCACUAAGAUCUUGUCUUAAUGAAUGAAAAAUAUAAGACAAGAUCAGUACAGUGACACUCGAUAAUUGUAGUGCAAAUGAUGCGAUGCUUGAACUUUUUAAAGGACAAGUUGAUCCUGAUAAUUUUAUUUUGAAGGGAAAGUUGCUACAUGUCGUUGUUUGUGCUCAUAUUUUAAAUUUAAUUGCCAAAAAUAGCUUAUUUGUCAUUGGUUAUAGUGUUGACAAAAUUUGAGACAGUGUUGCUUAUUGGUCGGACACACCAAAAAGACAUGAUAAAUUUAAGGACACUGCUCGCCAACUUGGAGUACCAUACACCAAAAAAAUAUCACUUGAUUGUGUAAUAAGGUGGAAUUUUACUUUUUUGAUGCUUAGCACAACUUUAUCGUACAAGACAAUAUUUGAACGUGCAAGGCUACGUGAGUUGAGAUUGAAGUGUGCCCCUUCAGAAAUUGAUUGACAAAAUGCUCAACAAUUAUGUGAUAAGUUAGAGGUGUUUCAUGAAGUGAAAGAGUUAUUUUCUGAAAUUUAGUAUCUUACCGCUAAUAUUUUUUUCCCAAAAAUAUGUGAAAUUAAGACUAACAUUGACUUAUAGAUGUCAUCAUAUGUGCUUUUUAUUAAGGUCAUGACAAUUCAAAUGAUGUCUAAGUUUCAAAAAUAUUGGGAAAAGAUUUACGAGUUUAUGUGUGUAGCGGUUGUUUUAGACCUGAGGCACAAGUUUAUGUUGCUUGAAUAUUAUUUUCCUGUAAUCUAUGAAAAUGAGCAAUAUGUAACUGAAAUUCCAAAUGUUUGUGAGUUUUGUUGUAAGUUAUUGGAAGAGUACGGGUUUAAGUUUCGUCAUUUGAGAGAGAAGAGUUCAAGUAGAAAAUGUAUCAUCUUUUUCGACACGGCGAAUGGAUGCCCUUUCUAACUUUGACAGAUUUGUUAGAGCUUCCUAUCGAGUAGAAAAUGUGUAGUCUGAACUAGAUUUAUAUUUAGAGGAGAACUUGGUACCUAGGACUGAAGAGUCCUCAAAUAUCCUUUGUUGAGUAUGAUUUUUAAGGAUGUAUUUGAUGUGCCUGUUAACACUGUUGCUCCAGAAUCUAUAUUCAGCACUGGUGGUAGACACGUGAGUCCUCAUCGAUCGAGAUUUCAUCCUUCUACAUUAAAAGCAUUAGUGUGCACUGGUGGUAGAUAUAUGGAUGUUGACCCUUUACGUGGCAACAUCUAAUAAUUUGUUUUUUUUUUAUUUAAAAAAAAGUCACCCAAUAAUUUUCUAUAAACUAAGAAUUCUGUUGUAUAGCCACAUUUUAUAUAGAAUAGAUAUAUAAAUAUUUAUUUAAUGAUUUUUACCUUUUUUUGUCAGUCAUCAACCAAUUCUGUAUGAACACUAAUGUUUCUAAUGUAGAAUGAUGAAGUCUCGAUCGAUAAGGACUCGCGUGUCUACCACCAGUGCUAAAUGUAGAUUUUGAAGCAACAGUGCUAAAUGUAGAUUUUGAAGCAACAGUGCUAAUAGACACAUCAAAUACAUCAUUGGCAAUCAUACUCAACAAAGGGUAUUUGAGGACUCUUCAGUCCUAGGUACUAAGUUCUCUUUCAAAUAUAAAUCUAGUUCAAACUUCACAUUUUCUACUCCAUAGGAAGCUCUAACAAAUUUAUCAAAGUUAGAAAGGGCAUCCAUUCGCCGUGUCGAAGAAGAUACAUUUUCUACCUGAACUCUUCUCUCUCUCAAAUGAGGAAACUUAGACCUGUACUCUUCCAUUAACUCGCAACAAAGCUCACAAACAUUUGCAAUUUCAGUUACAUAUUGCUCAUCUCCAUAGAUUAUAGGGAAAUAAUAUUUGAGCAACAUAAAUUUGUACAUCGGGUCUAAAACAACCGCCACACACAUAAGCCCAUUAAUCUUUCCUCAAUAUUUUUGAAACUUAGACAUCAUUUGAAUUGUUAUGUCCUUAAUAAAAGGCACAUCUGAUGACAUCCACGAGUCAAUGUUUGUCUUAAUUUCACAUAUUUUUUGGAAAAAAAAUAUUAGUGGUAGGAUACUUUGUUCCAGAAAAUAACUCUGUCACUUCAUGAAGUACCUCUAACUUAUCACAUAAUUGUUGAGCAUUUUGCCAAUCAAUUACCGAAAUGGCACACCUCAAUCUCAACUCACGUAGCCUUACACGUUCAAAUACUGUCUUGUACGAUAAAAUUGUGCUAAGCAUCAAAAAAGUAGAAUUCCACCUUGUUACACAAUCAAGUAAUAUUUUUUUGGUGUAUGGUACUCCAAGUUGACGAGCAGUGUACUCAAAUUUUUCACGUCUUUUUGGUGUGUCUGACUAAUAAGCAACACUGUCUUGAAUUUUGUCAAUACUAUCACCAAUGACAGAUAAGCCAUCCUUGACAAUUAGAUUUAAAAUAUGUGCACAACAAUACAUAUGUAACAACUUUCCCUUCAAAAUAAAACUGUCAGGCUCAAAUUGUCCUUUUAAAAGUUCAAUCAUGGCAUCAUUUGCACUACAAUUAUCGAGAGUCACUGUACUGAUCUUGUCUUCAAUUUUCCAUUCAUUAAUACUAGAUCUUAGUGCCUCAAGUAGUGCUGAAGCAUCGUGAGGACAUGGAACAUACUUAAACUCAGAAUUUAACUGUGAAAAUUCCAAGAAUAUUCAAUAAAAUGAGCUGUUACAGCCAUAUAUCAUCUCUUCUGAUGAUUUGUAGUCCAUAUGUCACUGGUUAUGACUAUUCUGCUCCUACUUUUUUUAGACUUUGCCUACAUUUCUCUUUCUCAGUUUUAUACAUGAUGUCAUAUCUAAUCGUAUUUUUUGACACCAUUUAAAACAUGGGAAACAAAGUACUUGAAUAUUUUAUAAAUCCACUAUGCUCAAUUAUGGACAAUGGAUAUUCAUGCUUAACGAUCAUUUGAGCCGAUUUGAUCUUUCUUAAA
Molecule: long non-coding RNA, 12074 nt
Organism: Cannabis sativa
Lineage: Eukaryota; Viridiplantae; Streptophyta; Magnoliopsida; Rosales; Cannabaceae
Exons: 6
Source: RefSeq, a predicted model, not a curated record